Coregonus clupeaformis (lake whitefish) is the source of this 364-nucleotide long non-coding RNA. RefSeq lists it as uncharacterized. NCBI's taxonomy places the organism in Eukaryota, Metazoa, Chordata, Actinopteri, Salmoniformes, Salmonidae. The record is from RefSeq and is a predicted model, not a curated record. The transcript is spliced from 3 exons.
CCCUGAUGGUGCAACCUGGUGGGUUCAUGGAGCGUCUGUACGCUCUCCUGUACUCCUUCCUGCCCACUGUUGCCAGCAUUGAGCCAAAGGCUGAGAGAUACCUGUUGCUGCUCAAUGGCGGGCUGAUGGCUCUGCUAGAUGACAUGUUUGGGCAGCAGCUGGCCUGGUAUUUUAACCGAGAGUCUCUGGUCACUGAGCUCUCCAGUCUCCUGGAGUACCACCUCGAGUACCUCAUGGCCAGCAUGUAGUCCCUCUCUCUCUCUCUCUCUCUCUCUCUCUCUCUCUCUCUCUCUCUCUCUCUCUCUGGAAUUGAGGACUUGAAGUGCUUCGUUGAACCCUGAUUAGUAAACACCUAUUAAAUUCA